Molecule: ribosomal RNA, 545 nt
Filed under: Thyrinula eucalyptina
Lineage: Eukaryota; Fungi; Ascomycota; Dothideomycetes; Asterinales; Asterinaceae
Description: partial 28S ribosomal RNA
Rfam family: Eukaryotic large subunit ribosomal RNA
Source: RNAcentral
AAAGCACUUUGGAAAGAGAGUUAAAAAGCACGUGAAAUUGUUGAAAGGGAAGCGCUCACGACCAGACUCGGGUGCGGCUGCUCAGCCGGUCUUCUGACCGGUGCAUCGGUUGUACCCGGGCCAGCAUCGGUUCGGGCGGUCGGAUAAAGGUUCCGGGAACGUAGCUCCUCUCGGGGAGUGUUAUAGCCCGGGGCGCAAUGCGGCCUGCCCGGACCGAGGAACGCGUUCGCUAGGAUGCUGGCGUAAUGGUCGUUAGCGGCCCGUCUUGAAACACGGACCAAGGAGUCUACCAUCUGUGCGAGUAUUAGGGUGUCAAACCCUUGUGCGUAAUGAAAGUGAACGGAGGUGGGAACCCUUUGGGUGCACCAUCGACCGAUCCAGAUGUCCUCGGACGGAUUUGAGUAAGAGCACCGCUGGUGGGACCCGAAAGAUGGUGAACUAUGCGCGGAUAGGGUGAAGCCAGAGGAAACUCUGGUGGAGGCUCGCAGCGGUUCUGACGUGCAAAUCGAUCGUCAAAUCUACGCAUAGGGGCGAAAGACUAAUCG